Molecule: transfer RNA, 74 nt
Filed under: Pseudomonadota bacterium
Lineage: Bacteria; Pseudomonadati; Pseudomonadota
Also listed under: 1 other name
Description: Proteobacteria bacterium tRNA-Gln
Rfam family: tRNA
About the family: Transfer RNA (tRNA) molecules are approximately 80 nucleotides in length. Their secondary structure includes four short double-helical elements and three loops (D, anti-codon, and T loops).
Source: RNAcentral
UCGGGGGUCGUCUAAUGGUAGGACGACAGGUUCUGGUCCUGUUAAUCAUGGUUCGAGUCCAUGCCCCUGAGCCA